Molecule: transfer RNA, 94 nt
Filed under: Promethearchaeota archaeon
Lineage: Archaea; Promethearchaeati; Promethearchaeota
Description: Candidatus Lokiarchaeota archaeon (microbial mat metagenome) tRNA-Arg
Rfam family: tRNA
About the family: Transfer RNA (tRNA) molecules are approximately 80 nucleotides in length. Their secondary structure includes four short double-helical elements and three loops (D, anti-codon, and T loops). Further hydrogen bonds mediate the characteristic L-shaped molecular structure. tRNAs have two regions of fundamental functional importance: the anti-codon, which is responsible for specific mRNA codon recognition, and the 3' end, to which the tRNAs corresponding amino acid is attached (by aminoacyl-tRNA synthetases). tRNAs cope with the degeneracy of the genetic code in two manners: having more than one tRNA (with a specific anti-codon) for a particular amino acid; and 'wobble' base-pairing, i.e. permitting non-standard base-pairing at the 3rd anti-codon position.
Source: RNAcentral
GGACCCGUAAUCUAGUCUGGAUAGGGUACCCGCCUUCGGAGACUCCUACAGGAGCUGAACUGGGCUGUCGCAGGUUCGAAUCCUGCCGGGUCCG